Long non-coding RNA from Bombus impatiens (common eastern bumble bee), 2110 nucleotides. RefSeq lists it as uncharacterized. The transcript has 4 exons. NCBI's taxonomy places the organism in Eukaryota, Metazoa, Arthropoda, Insecta, Hymenoptera, Apidae. The record is from RefSeq and is a predicted model, not a curated record.
CGAACCUUGUAUAGUAAAAGCACCGAGGUGUGCGAAAGGUGAUCAAUAACCGUCAAUAUGCAGGACGACGUUUUAAUAAGAGUGUAAGCCUGAGAUCUUGGGGCCCAGUUUAUGACUCCGCGACACAGGACGUCACUUCGACGCUCUUACUGCUUGCUCUUUAUUACCACUUGUCUCUAUCUCUUUCCACCCUCCCUCGCUUUCAUACACUAUUCUCUUGUAUAUGUUUCUUCCUUUUCUCCGUCCUGUCUCUAUCUUUGUCUCCCUUGCAGUGUUCUCACGCGAAUUUAUUAUUUAUAAAGCUAAAGGAGCAUGUAUCUCCUCGAGCGUAUUCUAACUUGCCCGUCUGACUUUCAGCUUUGCAACAAAACUCUUACGAAGCCUUAGUCGACUCGUUUCAUGAUUCUUGAUCAUUUUUUCGCCAAAAAAUGUCUACUCUCUCGUGUCUUUCUUAUCCUGUUUUCAAUUUCACGAGUGCAUGCAAUGUCUUAAGCUAGAUGUCACUCUGAGAGGUUUGGAAAUCGUAUUUGCGCGCUUCGAAUGCGCAACAUAUCGUAAUGGACAGAUGUAUCCCAGUGAAGAGUCGUUUUAUCUUUGAAAGCUUGGGUCGAAAUUCAUUUAACGGAACCGCAGAUUUGAUCGAUCAUGUUAAAUGUAUUUCUCGUUCCGUGAUGCUGAUUAGAUUAUUGUAAAAGCUUUGGAUUAUCUGAAGUGGCAACAUAUGUCGAACAUUUCCGGGAGUUCAAGUGGCUUGCACGCGGCCUGCUAUAUGGAUGUUAAUUUUUAUCGGCAACUUCGAUAGACCGGCCGGCUCGAGUAACUCGCGUAACGAGAGAAGUUAAACGGGAGUACAACAACGCGUUCUUGUAAACGUAUGCAUUCACCAGGAAGUCGAGGCCGCUAGGAUGCGCCUGUGUCGACUACGCCAAGUAAACCCAAAGUCCCGGCUUUCUGUUCCGGCGCGUGAGACGGGUGAGGGGUAACAAAGCGGAGGAGAGUUUUGGCACGAGCCAGAUGUCGAGCGGAUCCGUAACGAAACCGAGAAAAGAAAGGAAGGAAAAGAAAAUAGGAGGAAAAUCGUGACGAGCAGAGAAUCGAGGCGACGAAUCGACGGCCAUAGAAAGCCUGCUGGUAAAUUUGAAGAGAAUGGAAAGACGAUCGCGAGCAUCGAACCGGAAACACGUCGAGCAAAGGGAAUCGAAGCGACAGACGACAAGGUGGCAAUUGCAAAGGAGACGAUCGGCAGUAGCAGCCAGUCUGAUAAACGCUCUACUCUAUUAACUCUUCCCCCUGUAUUCUCUUCUUUCUUUCCCUUUUCCCUCUUUUUCUUUUGCACAGGUUAACGCGACUAAUGGCGAUAGGAUAACGGAGGCAAAAAACCUGGACAAAAAUUCGUGUCGCGGGUACGGUAAACGGAACGUCGGACAAAGAAACGGAGAAGAGCGACGCUUCCGGUGCAGUGGAGUCCUUCUGACGCGUGUCCGGUUGGUUGUUCUGUGACGACGACGCGCAAACAAUGACGAGGGUUACGUAACAGCUAUGCACGAGAGAGGCAGCGUUCUCUGCUUGCGCUUCGCGCAAUUCUCCCGUGCAGGGUGGCCAAUGAGCAGUAACAGGAACGCCGCUAGCGAACCGCAGUCCCGUGAACGCUCAAACAAUGCGUAUCAUACUCGGCCGACUUGCCUGAAAAUCCGUCUGUCGUCGAUCGGUUCACCUUCUCUUGUCCAACAGAUUUUACCGCCUACGAAAUAUCAGACAAGUCUGAAUUCAACUUCAAAGGGAAACUAAUACGAUAUAGAGGAAUUUAUAGGGUGCUUGAAGCAGCAAUUUUCUGUAAAUAGUACCUUUUGUCUCUUUUUCACAACGAAACUUGGUCUACAGAGAGCAAACAACGUCGUGAACGAAAUUGUUUUCUGGUGGCCGGACAGAAAGACACGAACACCGUUAGCCAGGGCACGUUCAAAGUCGUAAUCUCGUGGGUUCCAGAUAUUUUCUCGUGACCGCAAAACAAGAGGAGGCAGCGGUUGCUUGGACGAGCGAAUGCAUCGGGCUGCUCGGUCCAACCGACGGGAUUGUCCUUCAUUACGCACGAAGGAAAGUGCAGUCAUCG